UAAUGAGGUUGGGCUAACAAGAAAAAUUGGUUUUUCUGGAAAACAAAAUCCUUGAGUUAAGAGAGCUAUCAUAAUAUUCAACAGUUAAGCACAACUCUCUUCCUCCCAAUCUCUCUCAUUCCCAACUUUUUCCCUUUUUCUUUUCAUUGAGCUCAUCUUCAUGCUUUUUCUUACUUUUUUCUUUUUCUCAUGUAUUUUUCUUUUUCAACAUUUGAGCUCAAUACUUCUUAACAGCUUUUCAAUUUCCCCCAUGCAACCCCAAACUUGAACCUUUUUAUCACAUACAAUUAAAAGCUCAUCCCAAC
This 305-nucleotide long non-coding RNA is filed under the name Vigna radiata. RNAcentral's name for it is "long non-coding RNA (VRAD_LNC016651)". The record is from RNAcentral. Lineage: Eukaryota; Viridiplantae; Streptophyta; Magnoliopsida; Fabales; Fabaceae.